This 549-nucleotide ribosomal RNA is filed under the name uncultured Glomus. RNAcentral describes it as "SSU rRNA". It matches the Rfam family "Eukaryotic small subunit ribosomal RNA", at positions 547 to 1098 of the family's 1831-position model. Lineage: Eukaryota; Fungi; Glomeromycota; Glomeromycetes; Glomerales; Glomeraceae. The record is from RNAcentral.
UUAGGAGGGCAAGUCUGGUGCCAGCAGCCGCGGUAAUUCCAGCUCCAAUAGCGUAUAUUAAAGUUGUUGCAGUUAAAAAGCUCGUAGUUGAAUUUCGGGAUCAGACUGUCGGUCGUGCCUCGGUACGCACUGGCAUUAUUGGUUCCUACCUUCUGAAGAACCGCGAUGUCAUUAAUUUGGUGUCGCGGGGAAUCAGGACUGUUACUUUGAAAAAAUUAGAGUGUUUAAAGCAGGCGCACGCUUGAAUACAUUAGCAUGGAAUAAUGAAAUAGGACGUUUGAUUCUAUUUUGUUGGUUUCUAGGAUCGACGUAAUGAUUAAUAGGGAUAGUUGGGGGCAUUAGUAUUCAAUUGUCAGAGGUGAAAUUCUUGGAUUUAUUGAAGACUAACUACUGCGAAAGCAUUUGCCAAGGAUGUUUUCAUUAAUCAAGAACGAAAGUUAGGGGAUCGAAGACGAUCAGAUACCGUCGUAGUCUUAACCAUAAACUAUGCCGACUAGGGAUCGGAUGAUGUUAAUUUUAUAAUGACUCAUUCGGCGCCUUACGGGAAAC